UGACCUCGGAUCAGGUAGGGAUACCCGCUGAACUUAAGCAUAUCAAUAAGCGGAGGAAAAGAAACCAACCGGGAUUGCCUCAGUAACGGCGAGUGAAGCGGCCAGAGCUCAAAUUUGAAAGCUGGCUCCUUCGGGGUCCGCAUUGUAAUUUGCAGAGGAUGCUUCGGGUGCGGCCCCUGUCUAAGUGCCCUGGAACGGGCCGUCAGAGAGGGUGAGAAUCCCGUCUGGGAUGGGGUGUCCGCGCCCGUGUGAAGCUCCUUCGACGAGUCGAGUUGUUUGGGAAUGCAGCUCUAAAUGGGUGGUAAAUUUCAUCUAAAGCUAAAUACUGGCCGGAGACCGAUAGCGCACAAGUAGAGUGAUCGAAAGAUGAAAAGCACUUUGAAAAGAGAGUUAAAAAGCACGUGAAAUUGUUGAAAGGGAAGCGCUUGCGACCAGACUCGCCUCCAGGGUUCAGCCGGCAUUCGUGCCGGUGUACUUCCCUGGGGGCGGGCCAGCGUCGGUUUGGGCGGCCGGUCAAAGGCUUCCGGAAUGUAGUGCCCUCCGGGGCACCUUAUAGCCGGGAGUGCAAUGCGGCCAGCCUGGACCGAGGAACGCGC
Molecule: ribosomal RNA, 596 nt
Filed under: Aspergillus transmontanensis
Lineage: Eukaryota; Fungi; Ascomycota; Eurotiomycetes; Eurotiales; Aspergillaceae
Description: eukaryotic LSU rRNA
Rfam family: Eukaryotic large subunit ribosomal RNA
Source: RNAcentral